CCUCGGCCCUCCCCAGCACCCUCCUUUCCCCUCCCACUCUGUCCUCCCUGAGGCUGUACCUCCCUGCUGGAGUGUUACCUCUUUGAAGCCUCACUGCUGCCUGUGAGGAAGCUGCUGCUGUCCUGACUCCUGCGUCACAGGUGAGGACCUGGGGCUGCCCGCCUCCAGAGAGUGGAGGGAAGAGGGAGGGAGCCAGGCUGCUGGACCAGCGCCCACACCAACCCCACGCCAGCCGCUCCCAGGGCCCACACGGCCCAAGGGAAAGGGCAUUCCAAGCCCAAAAGGGUUCAACAGGCCAGACACGGAUGGACAGACGGUGGGGCAGAGGGAGAGCCAUGAGGAAGAGGAGGCUGUGCAAGUCGUCUGGGGCUGACCACAGAGGCCACAGAGGCCCUACCAAGAUCUGGCAAAAUGCAGUCACCUGUAGCCUGCUUUCAUUCUCUCCAGGCCAGCCUUUCCCAAAACGCGAUGCAGCAGCCCUCGGGUUGAACAGAAAACAGACCUCUGGGCACUGCAGCCUGGAGAUCAUCUGAAGGCCUCUGCAGUCCUUUCCUGGGACAUGUGGCACAGCAGACAUUUGAUCCCACUGGGCCAGGCAAUGCUGUUAAAUAUAAAGCCAGAGCCCCUGAGGGCAGGGCAAAGACAGAGAGGCCAGCUGGACCGCCAGGAGGGCUAUGGGCAGGCCAUGCACCAGCAUCCAGUCAGCACUUGUCCCAGGAGCCCGGGGCUGGCAAGUGCCCUGUGGGCUGCAGGGCACCCUUGGGGCACAGCCCUGGCUGUUGAUGUGACUGCCCAGGUCACACGCUCUUCAGGAGCCAGGCCAAGAGCUAUGACAGUGCAGUUUGGAAGGGAUGUGGCCGGCUUCAGUGGCACCAGGAAAGGAAAACAAUGUUGGAACAUGAACUGCAAGGAGCUCCCAGAUCUGACAUUCCUGGCUGUUCUGAUCUUUCGGUCCUCUGCAGGAUGGAGGCUGCGUGGCUGGAGAUCCCACCGUCACUGA
Molecule: long non-coding RNA, 1000 nt
Filed under: Macaca fascicularis (crab-eating macaque)
Lineage: Eukaryota; Metazoa; Chordata; Mammalia; Primates; Cercopithecidae
Description: lncRNA (ENSMFAG00000062803.1)
Source: RNAcentral